Cyprinus carpio (common carp) is the source of this 323-nucleotide long non-coding RNA. RefSeq lists it as uncharacterized. Lineage: Eukaryota; Metazoa; Chordata; Actinopteri; Cypriniformes; Cyprinidae. The record is from RefSeq and is a predicted model, not a curated record. The transcript is spliced from 3 exons.
GGAAGUUGUGCUCUGUUUCAACUGUUCUUCGUUCUGGGUUUUGUUUACAUUUCUAAGAUCUCCACCAUAGAUCUACACAAGGGUGAAAGAAACCCAAUCCAUAUUUUCAUUUAUAACAAAUAGCCACUCGUCGCGCGGAUAUGACGCACGGUGCGUUUUGUGACGCCACUGACUGUAUUGCCGCGAAAUGUCAAAUCAUGGCAGCAGGAUUUCAGAAAUGAUCGUCUCUUGAGUAUGAAAACCAUGAGAAGUCAAGGCAGAUCUGGUCCAGAUGGGGCUUCUCUCCAUGGCGAGGAUGCACUUCAACUCCUUCCCAGAGAGAA